UACGAGGGGUGCAAGCGUUGCUCGGAAUUAUUGGGUGUAAAGGGCAGGUAGGUGGUCUCAUUUGUCAGAGGCGAAAGCCUUGGGCUUAACCCAAGAAGUGCCUCUGAAACGGUGAGACUGGAGUCUUGGAGAGGGUCGUGGAAUUCCCGGUGUAGCGGUGAAAUGCGUAGAGGUCGGGAGGAACACCAGAGGCGAAGGCGGCGACCUGGACAAGUACUGACACUCAACUGCGAAAGCGUGGGUAGCAAACAGG
Molecule: ribosomal RNA, 253 nt
Filed under: uncultured bacterium
Lineage: Bacteria
Description: partial 16S ribosomal RNA
Rfam family: Bacterial small subunit ribosomal RNA
Source: RNAcentral